UGAGGAAUAUUGGGCAAUGCCCGAAAGGGUGACCCAGCAACGCCGCGUGGAGGAUGAAGGUCGUAAGAUUGUAAACUCCUGUUAGAGGGGAAGAAUAACUAAGUUUGGAGCUUAGUAUGACUGUACCCUCAGAGAAAGCCCCGGCUAACUACGUGCCAGCAGCCGCGGUAAUACGUAGGGGGCAAGCGUUGUCCGGAUUUACUGGGUGUAAAGGGCGCGCAGGCGGAAUGGAAAGUAAGUGGUGAAAUCCUACAGCUUAACUGUAGAACUGCCUUUGAUACUUUCAUUCUUGAGUUCGGGAGAUAGAGACGGAAUUCCAGGUGUAGUGGUGAAAUACGUAGAUAUCUGGAAGAACACCAGUUGCGAAGGCGGUCUCUUUGUCCGAUACUGACGCUGAGGCGCGAAAGCGUGGGGAGCAAACAG
RNAcentral lists this ribosomal RNA (423 nucleotides) under uncultured bacterium. RNAcentral's name for it is "bacterial SSU rRNA". It matches the Rfam family "Bacterial small subunit ribosomal RNA", at positions 355 to 775 of the family's 1533-position model. The record is from RNAcentral.